This 254-nucleotide ribosomal RNA is filed under the name uncultured bacterium. RNAcentral describes it as "partial 16S ribosomal RNA". It matches the Rfam family "Bacterial small subunit ribosomal RNA", at positions 524 to 776 of the family's 1533-position model. The record is from RNAcentral.
CACGUAGGGUGCGAGCGUUGUCCGGAAUUAUUGGGCGUAAAGAGCUCGUAGGCGGUGUGUCGCGUCGGCCGUGAAAACCUGCAGCUUAACUGUGGGCUUGCGGUCGAUACGGGCAUCACUUGAGUUCGGCAGGGGAGACUGGAAUUCCUGGUGUAGCGGUGAAAUGCGCAGAUAUCAGGAGGAACACCGGUGGCGAAGGCGGGUCUCUGGGCCGUAACUGACGCUGAGGAGCGAAAGCGUGGGGAGCGAACAGG